Schizosaccharomyces pombe (fission yeast) is the source of this 1436-nucleotide non-coding RNA. NCBI's taxonomy places the organism in Eukaryota, Fungi, Ascomycota, Schizosaccharomycetes, Schizosaccharomycetales, Schizosaccharomycetaceae. The record is from the annotation of a GenBank genome assembly.
AUGUAAGGUGGCUGAAUAGAAAACAGCUAAACAAAGCUGUAUAUAUCCUCAAUUAACUUGGAAUACGCACUAUUUUCUAAGGCUUGUUGACGCAUCUUGUCAUAUUUUUGAACACUUCGGUAGAAAUCUAAAAUAAAGUUAAUACUUUGCAGAUAAACAGUAAAAAAUGUAAACAAUGAUAGGAUUCCUUCAUGUUCGUUAAUAAUACCUUCUAAAAUCCUUCCUGAAAUUAAACACCAUAGUUCGUCUUUACUUUUCUUAGCUAGUUCUAAAGCGGAAAUUGCCAUUUUUUCAGCGUGUUCUAGUUUACCAAACCUCUCGGAUAAUUCCGUCAAGGAGAUAUAUUGUAAUUGGGUAUUUGCAUAUUCAGAAGAUUGCUGAAUAACUCGUGGCAAAACGUUACUUUGAUGCACUUGGGGACCUUCUCGAAUAACUUUUAGGACUAACAACCAUAGUUUAAAUAUUUUCUUUUCAUGUUUGUUACAUAACGGUUCAAUCGACUCUAAGCAUCUACUGGCGGCAGCACUGUCUUCUAAAAUAUUGAUCAAAUUGAGGGUAGAUAUGAUAAAUGUGUCUGUCCGAAAAGAAAAAUUUUUAGCAGUUUCUCUGUAAUGAACUUCAGCCUUUUUUAAAUCUCCUCUUUUUUGCAGAUACAUCCCUUUCAAAAUACCAAGAAAGCCAGUUUGAUCAUCUUCAGUAGACUGUAAAAUCCUUUCGGCCUUAGAUAAACGGGAUCUGCUCAAGUAUGUAGCAAUAAGGUAAUACUUCAUGUCUUUCGUAAUAUUAUUGAUCCAUUUCUGAGAUUCUAAAUACUCUAGCACACACCGUUCUUGAUGUUUAAAGUCUCCGGUAAUCCGCAGUCCUUCCUGAAGAAAACGGCUAGCUCUCCCUGAUGUGCUAUCCGAGAUGUAACAAAAUCCAGAAAUCAGAUAUAUUAACAAAUAUAGUUGAUUUAUACUCAUCCAUUUGAUGGAUAUUUUGCUAGUAUCAUCAAUGAAAAAAUCAAUAUAGGAAGAAGGCCAAACGAAUGUCUCUGAUUCUAACUUAGAAUGGAUUUUGGGAAGUAUUUCUCGAGCGAGCAAAAUCUCACCUUUACGCAAGCACUGUGCAAUUUGAGUUACCAAACAAAGAAUGGAAAUUUGAUCAGAGUCUGUAGAGAUCUCAUCCAUUGGCAAUGACUGAUUCAAUAUCAUUGCUAAUAACUGAAGAUGUUGGUGUUUAUGAUGAUUUGCAUAAUUAUGUAUACUAUUUGCAACUUGAGAUACAUUUUGAAAUUCGAGUGUUGCUAGUAAGAAUUCAUAGACCCAUCGAUGAGGAUUAGAUUGAUUGUUAGAGUGGUAUAUUUCUGCAACUUUUGCAUAUUCUUCUGCCUCCCGUACACACCUAGUUAAGAGAACCUUAGCAGCCUUUGGAGAAGUUCUACAAAAAACACGACU